GACGAACCGUCCAAACGUUAUUCGGAAUUACUGGGCUUAAAGGGUGCGUAGGCGGCGCGGAAAGUUGGGUGUGAAAUCCCUCGGCUCAACCGAGGAACUGCGCCCAAUACUACCGUGCUUGAGGGAGAUAGAGGUGAGCGGAACUUAGGGUGGAGCGGUGAAAUGCAUAGAUAUGCCAUAGAACACCAAUUGCGAAGGCAGCUGGCUAGACCUGGAUUGACGCUGAGGCACGAAAGCGUGGGGAGCGAACAGG
Molecule: ribosomal RNA, 253 nt
Filed under: uncultured bacterium
Lineage: Bacteria
Description: partial 16S ribosomal RNA
Rfam family: Bacterial small subunit ribosomal RNA
Source: RNAcentral